AUUCAGACAGUAUCUCAUUUAAAAUACUUUUGGGCACAGUGGAAUUCAGGGAGUAAUGAAGAGUCCGGCUACCACAGCAGGAGGCAUUAAAACAAGCCCAGAAGAUUGAUCCGAGGAGCCAGCUGAUGCGGCCUGAGGACAGCAGACUGGUUGUGGGCACGUGGCAGAGAGCAACUAUCAAGAGUACAGCUGACAAUGCAGGAUCCAGGAGGUAGAACCUGUGAGCAACACAGGAGCAUCAGCUUGCUCAACCAAGCUUUUCCCUACACGACAUCAAAAUUCCCUGCUGUCACAGCUGUGUGCUGCUCACUCUGUUCAGUGUGAUAGUCCAACAAGCCAAGUUGGGAUGUGGAGCUGCUUGCUCCCACCCGUGAAGAACAAAGGUUUAAGAAGACAAAGGGGGAGACUUAAAAGACAGAAAAAGCAGAAGAAUGUAAAAAUUGAGCUUACAUCAAUAUUUUAAAGUAUGGAAAAAGGCUGAAUUCUGCUGUCAUGGAAUCUGAUCGCAAAUCUCCCUUGAACAUGGAUCUGAGAGUGUGCCAUAAAAAGAGAAAGCAAUCUUUCUACAUAAUAAAAUCAUAAUAAAGUGCGUUUGUGCUUUUUUU
Molecule: long non-coding RNA, 605 nt
Filed under: Anser cygnoides (Swan goose)
Lineage: Eukaryota; Metazoa; Chordata; Aves; Anseriformes; Anatidae
Description: lncRNA (ENSACDG00005009711.1)
Source: RNAcentral